Molecule: ribosomal RNA, 396 nt
Filed under: uncultured bacterium
Lineage: Bacteria
Description: partial 16S ribosomal RNA
Rfam family: Bacterial small subunit ribosomal RNA
Source: RNAcentral
AUACGUAGGGGGCGAGCGUUGUCCGGAAUGACUGGGCGUAAAGGGCGCGUAGGCGGUUCGGUAAGUUAGGAGUGAAAGUCCAGCUUUCAAGGGUGGAAUAGCUUUUAAUACUGUCGGGCUAGAGUGCAGAAGAGGUAAGCGGAAUUCCCAGUGUAGCGGUGAAAUGCGUAGAGAUUGGGAAGAACACCAGUGGCGAAGGCGGCUUACUGGGCUGUAACUGACGCUGAGGCGCGAAAGCGUGGGGAGCGAACAGGAUUAGAUACCCUGGUAGUCCACGCUGUAAACGAUGAAUACUAGGUGUGGGGGGACUGACCCCCUCCGUGCCGCCGCUAACGCAUUAAGUAUUCCGCCUGGGGAGUACGGUCGCAAGAUUAAAACUCAAAUGAAUUGGCGGGG